Molecule: ribosomal RNA, 253 nt
Filed under: uncultured bacterium
Lineage: Bacteria
Description: partial 16S ribosomal RNA
Rfam family: Bacterial small subunit ribosomal RNA
Source: RNAcentral
UACGUAGGGUGCGAGCGUUAAUCGGAAUUACUGGGCGUAAAGCGUGCGCAGGCGGUUUUGUAAGCCCGAUGUGAAAGCCCCGGGCUUAACCUGGGAAUGGCAUUUGGGACUGCAAGGCUGGAGUUUGGCAGAGGAGACUGGAAUUCCUGGUGUAGCAGUGAAAUGCGUAGAUAUCAGGAGGAAUACCGAUGGCGAAGGCAGGUCUCUGGGCUAUAACUGACGCUGAGGAGCGAAAGCAUGGGGAGCGAACAGG